GUCGAGCGAAGCUUUUCAGUAGUUUACUACAGAAAAUGACUGAGCGGCGAACGGGUGAGUAACGCGUGAGCAACCUACCUUAGUUACUGGGAUAGCCCGAGGAAACUCGGACUAAUACCGGAUAUUCUUAUUUAAUCACAUGAUUUUUUAAGGAAAGGUCAGCCGAACUAAGAUGGGCUCGCGUUCUAUCAGCUAGUUGGUAGGGUAACGGCCUACCAAGGCUACGACGGAUAGCUGGUCCGAGAGGACGAUCAGCCACACUGGGACUGAGACACGGCCCAGACUCCUACGGGAGGCUGCAGCAGGGAAUAUUGUGCAAUGAACGAAAGUUUGACACAGCGACACCGCGUGUGGGAUGACGGAUCUAGGUUUGUAAACCACUUUCAGGAGGGAAGAAAAUGACGGUACCUCCACAAGAAGCCCCGGCCAACUACGUGCCAGCAGCCGCGGUAAUACGUAGGGGGCGAGCGUUGUCCGGAUUUAUUGGGCGUAAAGAGCUCGUAGGCGGUUCAACAAGUCGGUCGUGAAAGUUCAGGGCUCAACCCUGAAAUGUCGAUCGAUACUGUUGUGACUAGGAUACGGCAGAGGUGAGUGGAAUUCCGAGUGUAGCGGUGAAAUGCGUAGAUAUUCGGAGGAACACCAAUUGCGAAGGCAGCUCACUGGGCCGCUAUCGACGCUGAGGAGCGAAAGCUAGGGGAGCAAACAGGAUUAGAUACCCUGGUAGUCCUAGCUGUAAACGAUGGAUACUAGAUGUAGGAAUUGGUUUAACGAUUUCUGUAUCGUAGCUAACGCGUUAAGUAUCCCGCCUGGGGAGUACGGUCGCAAGACUAAAACUCAAAGGAAUUGACGGGACCCCGCACA
RNAcentral lists this ribosomal RNA (861 nucleotides) under uncultured marine bacterium. Its description in RNAcentral is "bacterial SSU rRNA". It matches the Rfam family "Bacterial small subunit ribosomal RNA", at positions 61 to 927 of the family's 1533-position model. The record is from RNAcentral.